RNAcentral lists this ribosomal RNA (435 nucleotides) under Microbacterium sp. IGS51. Its description in RNAcentral is "bacterial SSU rRNA". It matches the Rfam family "Bacterial small subunit ribosomal RNA", at positions 22 to 456 of the family's 1533-position model. The record is from RNAcentral. Lineage: Bacteria; Bacillati; Actinomycetota; Actinomycetes; Micrococcales; Microbacteriaceae.
GCUCAGGAUGAACGCUGGCGGCGUGCUUAACACAUGCAAGUCGAACGGUGAAGCCCAGCUUGCUGGGUGGAUCAGUGGCGAACGGGUGAGUAACACGUGAGCAACCUGCCCCUGACUCUGGGAUAAGCGCUGGAAACGGCGUCUAAUACUGGAUACGAGACGUGAUCGCAUGGUCGACGUCUGGAAAGAUUUUUUGGUUGGGGAUGGGCUCGCGGCCUAUCAGCUUGUUGGUGAGGUAAUGGCUCACCAAGGCGUCGACGGGUAGCCGGCCUGAGAGGGUGACCGGCCACACUGGGACUGAGACACGGCCCAGACUCCUACGGGAGGCAGCAGUGGGGAAUAUUGCACAAUGGGCGCAAGCCUGAUGCAGCAACGCCGCGUGAGGGAUGACGGCCUUCGGGUUGUAAACCUCUUUUAGCAAGGAAGAAGCGAAAG